Molecule: long non-coding RNA, 3828 nt
Filed under: Marmota monax (woodchuck)
Lineage: Eukaryota; Metazoa; Chordata; Mammalia; Rodentia; Sciuridae
Source: RNAcentral
GUUGCAUGGUAUUUGUGGGCCACAGUUUGUGUUUCCUUGUACGUUGAUGUUUGGCCAUGUGCAUAUUUUGGCCAUUGCAGAAAAUGCUACAGUUGAAGUGUUGGCAUGUGGCUUGUGGUAUAAAUCUGUGUAUAUACACAGCAUGGGUGCAUCCUGAGAAAUGCAUUGUUAGGUGACUUCACUGUUAACGUGAACAUUGCACAGUGCACUUGCACAAUCUGAGAUCACUAUGUCGUCGCUGAAUGAUAGAAUCUUACAGGACCACUGCCAUUCACAUGGCCUGUCAUGGACCAAAACAUGUAGUGCAUGACAUAUUUACGUAUCUGUGAAUAUAAACAUAUAUGUAUGUGUGUAUUUGUGUACACAAACUCACACAUUUAUACAUUUCUGUUGGGAAUAUACUUAGGAGCGGAAUUGCUGGAUCAUAGUUUUAAUAGUGCUAAAGCAUUUGUACCAAUUACAUUCCCGCUGGGAAAGUUCUGGUUGCUCCAGGUUCUUGCCAGUAUUUGAUAUUAUCUUCCUUUUUCAUGUACUCUUUUUGGUGGGUAUACAGUAACAUUAGGUCCAAAUGUGCAUUUCAGUGAGAUUGGCCAUUUGGGUAUCUUCUUUUGCAAAGUAGUCUGUUUAUAUCUUUUGCUCAUUUUUCUAUUGUUUUUUUUCCUAUCAUUUUCACAUAGAAAGUUCUUCAUAUAUUGUCCAAUAUAUGUGUUGCCAAUAUAUUCUCCUCAGAAGCUUUAGUAUCCAUGUCUUUAGUGAUAUCCCAUGUAAAGAAUUGGCACUGUUUAUAGUAUUUUGCACAAGGAUAUUUUAUUCUUUGUUAGCUAUGUUGAAGUUGGGGCUAUCAAGUGUUCUACAAAGUUUAUCAAGUUUUCUACAAAGGAACUCUUGGGAUAUUGGUUAUGAAGAGUGAGGCAGGGUCUCUUGAAGUUCUUGGCAUAUUAAAAUGCUGGCACCUGUAGCAUCACAUCAAAAUAAAAAUGUUAAUGUCCUUUUAUUUACUAUGUGUCAUAUAGUGUUCUAGGCAUUUUACGUGGGCUCUCUAAUUUAUUCAUUAGGCAAGUUUAUCAGCUAAAUGCUAUUAUUAUGCUCAUUUUCAAGCAAGGAAACAGGCUCAGAGAUGUUUUCUAAUUGCCUAGGUUUACAACUGGCUUGCAGGGCCCAUGCUCUUAACCACUGUACUUCAUGGAAAGUUGCAUUUCUGAAAAUUGCUGUUUUAUUAUAGUUCCCAGCCCAUAGUAAGUACUUAACGAGUACCUGUUGAAUGAAAGAAUCUAACUGUGGUGAAUUAGGUAAAGUCUUUAUUGAGCAGGAGGUUUGUCCUGGCAAUGGGAUAUGUUGGGUACAGGAAACAGUUGAGUUCUUUACUGAGGACUUUGCCUAGAACAAUACUUAGUAGACACUGUAGUGAACAUUUGUGGAGUGAAUGAAUCCCUUACAGCAGAUUGUGAGCUAUGUUUAGCAGAUGGGGGAACUCAGAGAACACUACAGGGCCAAGGCAGGUAUGUCAGUAGGGGUCAUUAUGAUGGUCUAAGGAGAAUUCAGAGAUGUGUUAGCAGCAUCCUGGCUGUAUAGCCACCAGGCAGCCCAGUGGUGGUAGCACAGCAGCGUCCAAUGUCAGAAGGCAAGACUGUCCCAGUUACAGGCAGUUGGGUCAGAAGAGGUCUCAGCCAGAAGUGCAGGGCUGGCAGGAUUCAAGGUCAGGUAAUCCAAAGUCACAAGGUUGCAAGCAGUAAAAGUUCAGUCUAGUUGGAGACAGAGCCAAGGAGUGCUUGCAGGGAGCUGUUGCCCGGGCUGAGUUCCCCUCCUCAAUGAGGCCUUUCUUCUCAGGCUGCUCAUGGUGCCUGGGAGGAAUACAUCAGACCUCUGCCAGAGACCUUUCCCAUGCUGGAGUCAGAAGAGGCCUCCAUGAAUGUCUUGCCAAACUCUUCAUUUGACAGGUGAGGAAAUUAAAGCUUUAAUUAGAAGUUUUUCAGUGAGUAGUAGAGUCAGCGCUGAGACCAGACACUGCAGACUUAUUCCUGCUUCCCUGUGUUUUCUAUAAAAAAUUAAGAGCUGAUAGGAUUUGGUACUGAGAAGGAGGGAAGGACAAACCUUAAAGAGGAAAAAUGGAGAGAAAUUGGAUAUGGCGGCAGCGGAGGAAUCUGGUCACUAUCAUAUGAGUCUAGAGAAUGGCAGUUGAGGUGACAAGAGUUUGGAGAAAGAAGCUGCUUAGAUGAUGCCCGUGAUCUUGACUCCAGAGUAUAAGUUCUGUGAGAACAAAGUCGUUUUCAUUUUUAUUGAAGUGAAACAUACAGAAAAGUACACAGAGGGCAGAGAUUUAUUAAAAAAAUGUUUUUGAAUGUAUUUGCUACAUUUUGUGUAUCCAUUCAUCUGUCUGUGGACACUUAGGGCAAGAAGUUUUUUAUGGUUUGCUCACCAAUAACUCGAAUAAAUCCUGACUUUAGUAGCAAUUCAGCAAGUAAUUUUGGAAUGGAUUUUAGUUAUGAUGAACUUGAGCUGACAGUGGGGUAUCCAGGUGGGCUUUUUGUCCAACAGCAAUUCUAAGAUGACUCAGGUCUAGAGGUUGAAUCCCUUUUAGAGGUGAAGGAUGAAGGUGUGGUGUCCCAGAGACAGGGUAGAGCAGGGAGCAGGGCCCUAGGGUUUGCACAGGUGAGAGCAAAUUUUUUCCAGAUGCAGUCCAUCUCAGGAGGGUGUCAUUACUGAAAACAGAAGAGAGGUUUUAAGAAUGGGGUAAAAAGCCAUAUCUAAGUCAAGAAGAAUGAAGGGUCUGAAAAGGAACGCUGGAAUUGGCAAAUAGCCAUGGGGCUAAGACUUGGGCUCGCUGUGUCUGAUUUCAUGGUUGACCUCAGGAAGAAAUUUCUAUAGAAUGUUGGUAGUCCAGACCAUAACCCUUGGUCAAGGGAAACACCUGGAACAGCCAGAGCUAUUCAAUGCUGGACACCAGGUGAAGCAGUAGCACUAGUAACAGGUGUGUAGAGAAAAAAUUCACCAGCACAGAUCAUUCUGAGACUUCAAGGAAAUCUUGAACUUGAGCACGGACUUGUAAUGCAGUUGGACUCUGCAAUUUACAGAGGGGAGAAGGACACCUCUGGUAGAGGAAGCAGUAAGAGCUUGGCGGAAAGAAUGGGAGCCACAGGGAACAAUGAGGAAACCAGAAUGAUGAGGCAGAGGAUAUGUGGGGGAAGUGGGACAUAGGGCUGGCACUUCUAUUGUUUCCUCCCCUUUUAAGUUGAUCAAGAGAUGUCAGUUGGGGAGCUCGAGUGAUCUACAUCUAAACACGACAUCCAGCAUAACUCAGCAGCCGCAUUUAGAAUGACUGGACACCAAAGAAUCCCCAGGACAACCCAUUGCCCUGUGUGUAUAAUAGAACAGUCUAACAUAGACACCAGUAAGUUGUAAAGACUACUGCAUGUGACAGACCUAUCUGGCUCAGAUAUGAGUGUGACUAUAUCUGGAAUCACAUGCUAGAGAAUUCAGUCUAACCGGUAAUUCAUUGAGCUCCAGCUGAAAGCCAUGCUUGCUGCUGGAUGCUAGAAUAUGGACAAAAGGUUGCGAUUAAGAAGUACAAAUUGAGCUUGGGCAGGUCCUAGACUUGCCUGAGUCUUAAAGACUUCACUUUCUGCAGAGCCUAGGGAGAUAUUAGGCUGAAGACUAAAAAAGGGAAAGCCUUGGGCUGGGGAUGUGGCUCAAGCGGUAGCGCGCUCGCCUGGCAUGCGUGCAGCCCGGGUUCGAUCCUCAGCACCACAUACAAAACAAAAGAUGUUGUGUCUGCUGAAAACUAAAAAACAAAUAUUAAAAAAAUUCUCUCUCUCUCUCUUAAAAAAAAAA